UGAGGAAUCUUGGACAAUGGGGGCAACCCUGAUCCAGCGAUGCCGUGUGUGUGACGACAGCCUGCGGGUUGUAAAGCACUUUAGCUGGGGAAGAACUCGUCGAGGGCCAUAACCCCUCGGCGUUGACGGUACCCAGAGAAUAAGCACCGGCUAACUCUGUGCCAGCAGCCGCGGUAAUACAGAGGGUGCAAGCGUUAAUCGGACUUACUGGGCGUAAAGGGUGCGUAGGCGGAUCCCCAAGUCAGCUGUGAAAGGCCUGGGCUCAACCUAGGCAUGGCAGUUGAGACUGGGGGUCUUGAGUGGAGUCGAGGAGAGCGGAAUUUCCGGUGUAGCGGUGAAAUGCGUAGAUAUCGGAAAGAACACCCGUGGCGAAAGCGGCUCUCUGGCCUCCAACUGACGCUGAGGCACGAAAGCGUGGGGAGCGAACA
This 428-nucleotide ribosomal RNA is filed under the name uncultured bacterium. Its description in RNAcentral is "bacterial SSU rRNA". It matches the Rfam family "Bacterial small subunit ribosomal RNA", at positions 355 to 774 of the family's 1533-position model. The record is from RNAcentral.